This 427-nucleotide ribosomal RNA is filed under the name uncultured bacterium. RNAcentral describes it as "bacterial SSU rRNA". It matches the Rfam family "Bacterial small subunit ribosomal RNA", at positions 354 to 796 of the family's 1533-position model. The record is from RNAcentral.
GUGGGGAAUAUUGCGCAAUGGGCGAAAGCCUGACGCAGCGACGCCGCGUGUGGGAUGAAGGCCUUCGGGUUGUAAACCACUGUCGGGAGGGACGAAGCUCUGACGGUACCUCCAAAGGAAGCACCGGCUAACUCUGUGCCAGCAGCCGCGGUAAUACAGAGGGUGCGAGCGUUGUCCGGAAUCACUGGGCGUAAAGGGCGCGUAGGCGGCCCGAUAAGUAGGGGGUGAAAUCUUGCGGCUCAACCGCAAGGCUGCCUUCUAGACUGUCGGGCUUGAGCACAGUAGAGGCAGGUGGAAUUCCCGGUGUAGCGGUGGAAUGCGUAGAGAUCGGGAAGAACAUCGGUGGCGAAGGCGGCCUGCUGGGCUGUUGCUGACGCUGAGGCGCGACAGCGUGGGGAGCAAACAGGAUUAGAAACCCUAGUAGUCC